CUUCGGGCGCAAACGGGUGCCAAAGGAGGAGAGAGAUAUCAAUAAGUCGCUCGUGGCGCUGGGCCGCGUCAUUACCGCUCUGGCAAACAGGAGAACUCACAUCCCGUACAGAGGGUCCAAGCUGACGCGCUUCCUGCGAGACUCGCUGGGUGGUGGGACGAAAACCACCAUCAUUGCCACCGUCCCAAGGGUCUCCAGUGAGCUUGGGGUGCGUUUGUCCCACUGUGUUCAAAAAAAAAAAAAGUCCUGAGAUGGAGACGACAUGGA
Long non-coding RNA from Hippocampus comes (tiger tail seahorse), 267 nucleotides. RefSeq lists it as uncharacterized. The record is from RefSeq and is a predicted model, not a curated record. Lineage: Eukaryota; Metazoa; Chordata; Actinopteri; Syngnathiformes; Syngnathidae. The transcript is spliced from 2 exons.